Molecule: ribosomal RNA, 520 nt
Filed under: uncultured bacterium
Lineage: Bacteria
Description: bacterial SSU rRNA
Rfam family: Bacterial small subunit ribosomal RNA
Source: RNAcentral
CCAGAGAACUUAGCAGAGAUGCUUUGGUGCCUUCGGGAACUCUGAGACAGGUGCUGCAUGGCUGUCGUCAGCUCGUGUUGUGAAAUGUUGGGUUAAGUCCCGCAACGAGCGCAACCCCUAUCCUUUGUUGCCAGCGAUUCGGUCGGGAACUCAAAGGAGACUGCCGGUGAUAAACCGGAGGAAGGUGGGGAUGACGUCAAGUCAUCAUGGCCUUACGAGUAGGGCUACACACGUGCUACAAUGGCGCAUACAAAGAGAAGCGACCUCGCGAGAGCAAGCGGACCUCAUAAAGUGCGUCGUAGUCCGGAUUGGAGUCUGCAACUCGACUCCAUGAAGUCGGAAUCGCUAGUAAUCGUAGAUCAGAAUGCUACGGUGAAUACGUUCCCGGGCCUUGUACACACCGCCCGUCACACCAUGGGAGUGGGUUGCAAAAGAAGUAGAUAGCUUAACCUUCGGGAGGGCGUUUACCACUUUGUGAUUCAUGACUGGGGUGAAGUCGUAACAAGGUAAGCGUAGCGAG